Molecule: ribosomal RNA, 795 nt
Filed under: uncultured bacterium
Lineage: Bacteria
Description: bacterial SSU rRNA
Rfam family: Bacterial small subunit ribosomal RNA
Source: RNAcentral
AGAGUUUGAUCAUGGCUCAGGAUGAACGCUAGCGGGAGGCUUAACACAUGCAAGUCGAGGGGUAACAUGAGGUAGCAAUACUUUGAUGACGACCGGCGCACGGGUGAGUAACGCGUAUGUAACCUACCCUGUACAGGGGGAUAGCCCGGAGAAAUUCGGAUUAAUACCCCAUAAAGAUAUAUUAGGGCAUCCUACUAUAUUUAAAGUUUCGACGGUACGGGAUGGGCAUGCGUGACAUUAGCUAGUUGGUAGGGUAACGGCCUACCAAGGCUUCGAUGUCUAGGGGUCCUGAGAGGGUGAUCCCCCACACUGGUACUGAGACACGGACCAGACUCCUACGGGAGGCAGCAGUGAGGAAUAUUGGUCAAUGGGCGUAAGCCUGAACCAGCCAUCCCGCGUGCAGGAAGACGGCGCUAUGCGUUGUAAACUGCUUUUCCAGGGGAAGAAAACCCGCUACGAGUAGCGGCUUGCCGGUACCCUGGGAAUAAGCAUCGGCUAACUCCGUGCCAGCAGCCGCGGUAAUACGGAGGAUGCGAGCGUUAUCCGGAUUUAUUGGGUUUAAAGGGUGCGUAGGCGGAUUAAUAAGUCAGUGGUGAAAACCUGCAGCUUAACUGUAGAACUGCCAUUGAUACUGUUAGUCUUGAGUACGGUCAAGGUAGGCGGAAUGUGUAAUGUAGCGGUGAAAUGCUUAGAUAUUACACAGAACACCGAUUGCGAAGGCAGCUUACUGGGCCAUUACUGACGCUGAUGCACGAAAGCGUGGGGAGCGAACAGGAUUAGAUACCCUAGUAGUCC